AGUGAACGCUGGCGGUAGGCCUAACACAUGCAAGUCGAACGGCAGCACAGUAAGAUCUUGCUCUUACGGGUGGCGAGUGGCGGACGGGUGAGGAAUACAUCGGAAUCUACUUUUUCGUGGGGGAUAACGUAGGGAAACUUACGCUAAUACCGCAUACGACCUACGGGUGAAAGCAGGGGAUAUUCGGACCUUGCGCGAAUGAAUGAGCCGAUGUCGGAUUAGCUAGUUGGCUGGGUAAAGGCCCACCAAGGCGACGAUCCGUAGCUGGUCUGAGAGGAUGGUCAGCCACAUUGGAACUGAGACACGGUCCAGACUCCUACGGGAGGAAGCAGUGGGGAAUAUUGGCCAAUGGGCGAAAGCCUGAUCCAGCACGACCGCGUGGGUGAAGAAGGCCUUCGGUUUGUAAAGCCCUUUUGUUGGGAAAGAAAAGCAGCAGGUUGAUAACCCGCUGUUCUGACGGUACCCAAAGAAUAAGCACCGGCUAACUUCGUG
This 492-nucleotide ribosomal RNA is filed under the name uncultured bacterium. RNAcentral describes it as "partial 16S ribosomal RNA". It matches the Rfam family "Bacterial small subunit ribosomal RNA", at positions 29 to 507 of the family's 1533-position model. The record is from RNAcentral.